AUGGAGGCAAAAGAAUCAGGGUCAAAACCUUUUAGAUUGAACUCAGCUGGCUACAAAGAGAAGAUCUCAUUUGAGAAAGUCGAAAAAAUUUGGUCUGAGUGCAUUGUUGCAAGAGACAGUUUGGAUGUGAUGCAGAAGAAGACGAAAAAGGCUACUAAAUAUCUAAAAGGCUGGGGUAGAAAUCUGAUCGGACAAGUUUUAAAAAAUAGGGCAGAAAUGAUUGAUGAGCUGAAAGACUUGGAAGAGCUUGAGGAAAUCCAACCUCUGAAUGAUGAAGAAAUGGCAAGAAGGGGUCAAAUUCAGAGUUGUGUUUGUGAGUCUCUGGAAGAAGAUGAGGAAUACUGGCAUCAAGAAAACACCAAUACUUCCAGCAACCAGCGUAUCCGUAUCGGAUACUAUAUCUUCAUCAUUCAGAGACUGGACUUUUUCCUGCCGGCUGAUUCUUUCCUGCCGGUGGUGGGCUCCUUUCUCCGGUGCUCUGCUCCCCUUCCCCCACUAUCCUGUAGAAUUCAAUCUAAUGGAAGGCUGCUGAUUUCCUCCUCCUCCCUUUCUCUCUAA
RNAcentral lists this ribosomal RNA (558 nucleotides) under Triticum aestivum (bread wheat). RNAcentral's name for it is "partial small subunit ribosomal RNA". The record is from RNAcentral. Lineage: Eukaryota; Viridiplantae; Streptophyta; Magnoliopsida; Poales; Poaceae.